Molecule: ribosomal RNA, 529 nt
Filed under: uncultured bacterium (human infant) S2E
Lineage: Bacteria
Description: bacterial SSU rRNA
Rfam family: Bacterial small subunit ribosomal RNA
Source: RNAcentral
GCCUGGGGAGUACGACCGCAAGGUUGAAACUCAAAGGAAUUGACGGGGGCCCGCACAAGCGGAGGAACAUGUGGUUUAAUUCGAUGAUACGCGAGGAACCUUACCCGGGUUUGAACGCAUUCGGACCGAGGUGGAAACACCUUUUCUAGCAAUAGCCGUUUGCGAGGUGCUGCAUGGUUGUCGUCAGCUCGUGCCGUGAGGUGUCGGCUUAAGUGCCAUAACGAGCGCAACCCUUGCCACUAGUUACUAACAGGUAAAGCUGAGGACUCUGGUGGGACUGCCAGCGUAAGCKSCGAAGGAAGGCGGGGAUGACGUCAAAUCAGCACGGCCCUUACAUCCGGGGCGACACACGUGUUACAAUGGCGUGGACAAAGGGAAGCCACCUGGCGACAGGGAGCGAAUCCCCAAACCACGUCUCAGUUCGGAUCGGAGUCUGCAACCCGACUCCGUGAAGCUGGAUUCGCUAGUAAUCGCGCAUCAGCCACGGCGCGGUGAAUACGUUCCCGGGCCUUGUACACACCGCCCGUCA